AAAGUCGUAACAAGGUUUCCGUAGGUGAACCUGCGGAAGGAUCAUUAGCACGUUCGAGGAAGCCCCGACCGGACCCUUCGGGGUAUGGCCGACGGCGUCUCGAGGCAAGGAAGUCGAAGCGGUCGAGGCCUCUCGCCGCUUCGCCAGUCCACAAACCCUCUCGGUGUACCUUACCCUUGUUGCUUUCCCGGGCCCCAAAACGUCCGGGAGAGGACCGAAAACCAAUCCUGUGUAACCAGUAGUCUGACCGGAUGGCUCGCGAGCCGUCCGAUAGAAAAUCCAAAACUGUUAAAACUUUCAACAACGGAUCUCUUGGUUCUC
RNAcentral lists this unclassified non-coding RNA (321 nucleotides) under Ascomycota sp. Its description in RNAcentral is "partial contains small subunit ribosomal RNA, internal transcribed spacer 1, and 5.8S ribosomal RNA". The stretch from base 1 to 47 matches the Rfam family "Eukaryotic small subunit ribosomal RNA", at positions 1785 to 1831 of the family's 1831-position model. The record is from RNAcentral. Lineage: Eukaryota; Fungi; Ascomycota.